Amphiprion ocellaris (clown anemonefish) is the source of this 2845-nucleotide long non-coding RNA. NCBI's taxonomy places the organism in Eukaryota, Metazoa, Chordata, Actinopteri, Pomacentridae. The record is from Ensembl.
GUGGAAGCUGAAUUAGUGAGGAUGACUCCUGCUCCUGUCAUCUCUAAGCUCCUCACACAUCUUUACCUGCACAUGAGGAAAAUCACUCCUGUAGAAUGCAGUGGUUCAUCAGAACCUCUGGGGAUCCUGUGGAUUCUGUGGAUCCUGUGGGUUGCAGGGUGGAUCCUACCUAGACCAGGCUGAUCCUGGACCAUCCCACAGAUGCUCCAUCAGAUCUGGAUGUGGGGAGUGUGGAACCCAGAUGUUCAGAGGGAGAUGAUGCCACAUCUGGUCCAGCUGAUGGAAGGUCUUGAAGUUCUCUGACUGGCCUCGACUGAAGAUGGUCGUCUCACUGGAUUUAAGGUUCAGAUGCUCAGUAACAAACUCCACCAAUGAGCCAACAGGGAAGCUUUAGGUUUAUUAAAUGUUGCUAUGAAGGUUUCACUGUUUUUCUUUGUGAAUGCAAUGAGCUCCAACUGAAAGUUGAAUUAGAACUUAGAAGUAAAUCCUUCCAUCUGAAAGGAUUUAGUUGCAUUAAUAACCUCAUAACAUUCUAAUUUUUAUUCCAGUCUUGGUUGGAAAUAGAAUCUCUGUAUUGAUUCAGGUAAAAACUGAACUUCACAGCAUGUUGGAGCAAAACAACCAGAUGAAAACUGUGAUGGUGUUGGAUUGUCAGACCGUAAUGUUGCAGCUCAAAGCAGCUUUUCUAGCUCAGUUCAUUCUGACAUUCAGCUAUGAAUCAACACAGCAGAUGGUGAUCCAUGCUGUGGAAGUCUCACAUCUCCUGAUUUAAUGGAGCUGCUUUGCACUUUUUACACUGUUUAUUCACCAACUCUUUAUUUAAUAAAAGUCCCAUCGAGUUUUUAUGAGGAAUGUGAUGUUUUAAUUUCUCUGUUAAUAACUGCAGUCUAAUGGAACAGCUGGAGUUGUAACAUCUGUCCUGAUAUUGAUCAUGAAGUAUUGAUCAGAUUACUUAUGGUCAGCAGUCAUCCCUGAAGUUUUACUUUAAAAUCUUUACUUGUGUUGUGAACUUUAGUAAGAAGCAGAAACGUUAGCGUUGCCAUGGAUACAUGAGUGUUAAAUUCUGUCCAUGUUUCCAUUUUGGGAAAUUCAGUCCAGCAGAUGAGUUUGUUUUUACUGCCAGCUACCAUUCAGUCUGAGAUAUUAAGAAUAAAUAAAUAUGCAUAAUGUGGAAAUGAACAGAUUUUAUUUUUAUUUAUUCCUACAGCUGCUGCAUUUAAAGUUCCAGAAUGUGGAGGAAUUUAGGAUCACAAUCACAGACAACAAAUAUUAUAUGAAAGUCAGGUUGUUGUUGUUUAUCAGCACAAUACAAAAAGAUUCAUGUUAGAAAUAUUCCAGUUAAGACUCUAGAAUAUCAUGAUUUAUGUAAAUUUACCUCAAUAAUAUGAAUGUUCAGGUUAAGAUUGUACAGUGAUAUUUAUUAUGUAAGUUUAGCUGAUUAAAGUUUAUGACUCUGCACUAAAAUAUUAUUUAAACUGACAUCAUUAUUAUAAUAUUUAGGGUCAGACCCUACAGUAUUGAGAUUAAGAAAUCAAAUAUUCUAUAAAAUGUAAAUACACUGAACUCAUUUGGAUGUAUUUAAGUGAGACUCUACAAUAUUAUUUGACACAAAUCUAUCUAAAUCAAAAUUUGAAUCAUUUUUACUCCAAACAUUUACUGGACUGAUUUAAAUAUUAAAAUCACUCCUUUCUAAUCCUCUGCUGUACGUUCAAACCUGAGGCCUUAAAUAGAAACACACAAGUAUCUGAUUGAAGGAACUUCUGCAGAGUCCUGGUUCCAGAACAUGAUGAUAGAAUUAUAGACAAACUUUAACAAAAGCUGCCUGAGAGUUUACAGCUUUUUAUGUUGGAUUUCUUCAGUAAUUUAAUGACAGUUAUCAGCAAAAAUCAAUGUUCAUUUGAUGAACUUCAUUUCUAAAAACAUCCAGAAUUGGAGCUCAUAUCUUUGGCAGCUGUAAAGUUUCUGCUCCUUCAAAGUUCACAACACAAUGAAUGAAUUCCUAAAACACUCUCAAUGCUGGAGAGCGUUUGAUGCUGAAGCAGUGACCAGUUUUUCUGUUUCUUCUCUGGAGAUGCACAAUGAGGGACGUCUGCAGAGACUGAGAAAGAGUCUCACCACAUCCUGACAUGAGGAAAAAGACUUUAUUGAAGACUACAAUGAGAAAAACUAUCAGACAGCAGACGGCUGCAUUCAAGGUGAGCUCUGAACAUUUGAUCUGGAACAGGAAUUCAAUAACGGCAGCAUGAGCUUCAUUUCAGUCUGUAGCUGCUGAAUUCAUGGAUGAAUCAUCUGGCACUAGAGAGGAAGACCAUCAAACAUCCACGUCAGCUGAUGGAGGUCCAAGAGUCUCACCAAACAACCUACAGAUUUAGGCUGUUAGAUUGUUCCAGAUAAGACAAGUACAAGAUACUUCAGAGCCGUUCUACCACGAGCCUGACAGGAAGAACUCCAACAGCUACUGAAUGUUCCUGUGGUUCCCUCAAGGCUACAGGAGGAGUCCUACGAGGACGAGCCGGUCCACCUGAUGGAGGCCAGUCGCUGCGGUUCAAAGCCAACACGGACUACGUGGACUUCUACUGGACCACACGGAGGCCUUCAAACCGGACCAACAAGUUCACAGACUCCCCGACUCGUGGGUCUGAGGACGCCGCCGAGCCUCGGUCCAGCCGGCCUCCUGUCUGUGGGUGUUUGAGUGCUGAGAGGUUUGUGGAUGCAUGUGAACGUUCUGUGUUGAAACAGCAGCUUUGGACUCACUAACGCCGGGAAAAACCAAGAGCUCCUUUAUUUGUGACUUCCACUAAAAAACUGAUGAAAAUAAGUUUGCCAGGGUUCUGACUGAUAACAG